Molecule: long non-coding RNA, 110 nt
Organism: Sander lucioperca (pikeperch)
Lineage: Eukaryota; Metazoa; Chordata; Actinopteri; Perciformes; Percidae
Exons: 3
Source: RefSeq, a predicted model, not a curated record
UUUUACUCUGCCCCUUCACUUCAUCGUACACGGUUUCCUCCUCCUUUCUAGCUUGAGUCAAAGGAUGUUUCUUACUUUUGAAUACAACUGAAGCGUAGUUAACCUCCUCC